AGAGUUUGAUCCUGGCUCAGGAUGAACGCUGGCGGCGUGCCUAACACAUGCAAGUCGAGCGAUCUCUUCGGAGAGAGCGGCGGACGGGUGAGUAACGCGUGGGUAACCUGCCCUGUACACACGGAUAACAUACCGAAAGGUAUACUAAUACGGGAUAAUAUAUGAAAGUCGCAUGGCUUUUGUAUCAAAGCUCCGGCGGUACAGGAUGGACCCGCGUCUGAUUAGCUAGUUGGUAAGGUAAUGGCUUACCAAGGCAACGAUCAGUAGCCGACCUGAGAGGGUGAUCGGCCACACUGGAACUGAGACACGGUCCAGACUCCUACGGGAGGCAGCAGUGGGGAAUAUUGCACAAUGGGCGAAAGCCUGAUGCAGCAACGCCGCGUGAGCGAUGAAGGCCUUCGGGUCGUAAAGCUCUGUCCUCAAGGAAGAUAAUGACGGUACUUGAGGAGGAAGCCCCGGCUAACUACGUGCCGGCAGCCGCGGUAAUACGUAGGGGGCUAGCGUUAUCCGGAAUUACUGGGCGUAAAGGGUGCGUAGGUGGUUUUUUAAGUCAGAAGUGAAAGGCUACGGCUCAACCGUAGUAAGCUUUUGAAACUAGAGAACUUGAGUGCAGGAGAGGAGAGUAGAAUUCCUAGUGUAGCGGUGAAAUGCGUAGAUAUUAGGAGGAAUACCAGUAGCGAAGGCGGCUCUCUGGACUGUAACUGACACUGAGGCACGAAAGCGUGGGGAGCAAACAGGAUUAGAUACCCUGGUAGUCCACGCCGUAAACGAUGAGUGCUAGCUGUAGGGAGCUAUAAGUUCUCUGUAGCGCAGCUAACGCAUUAAGCACUCCGCCUGGGGAGUACGACCGCAAGGUUGAAACUCAAAGGAAUUGACGGGGGCCCGCACAAGCGGUGGAGCAUGUGGUUUAAUUCGAAGCAACGCGAAGAACCUUACCAGGUCUUGACAUACUCGUGCUAUCCUUAGAGAUAAGGAGUUCCUUCGGGACACGGGAUACAGGUGGUGCAUGGUUGUCGUCAGCUCGUGUCGUGAGACGUUGGGUUAAGUCCCGCAACGAGCGCAACCCUUAUUACUAGUUGCCAUCAUUUAGUUGGGCACUCUAGCGAGACUGCCGGUGACAAACCGGAGGAAGGUGGGGAUGACGUCAAAUCAUCAUGCCCCUUAUGACCUGGGCUACACACGUGCUACAAUGGGAAGUACAACGAGUCGCUAGACCGCGAGGUCAUGCAAAUCUCUUAAAGCUUCUCUCAGUUCGGAUUGCAGGCUGCAACUCGCCUGCAUGAAGCCGGAAUCGCUAGUAAUCGCGGAUCAGCACGCCGCGGUGAAUACGUUCCCGGGCCUUGCACUCACCGCCCGUCA
Molecule: ribosomal RNA, 1359 nt
Filed under: uncultured bacterium
Lineage: Bacteria
Description: partial 16S ribosomal RNA
Rfam family: Bacterial small subunit ribosomal RNA
Source: RNAcentral